CGUGUAGGCGGUUUGGUAAGUCAGGUGUGAAAGCCCUGGGCUUAACCCAGGAAGUGCACUUGAAACUACCUCACUUGAGUAUGGGAGAGGAGAGUGGAAUUCCCAGUGUAGAGGUGAAAUUCGUAGAUAUUGGGAGGAACACCCGUGGCGAAGGCGACUCUCUGGACCAAUACUGACGCUGAGACGCGAAAGCGUGGGGAGCAAACA
This 207-nucleotide ribosomal RNA is filed under the name uncultured bacterium. RNAcentral's name for it is "partial 16S ribosomal RNA". It matches the Rfam family "Bacterial small subunit ribosomal RNA", at positions 568 to 774 of the family's 1533-position model. The record is from RNAcentral.